Molecule: non-coding RNA, 74 nt
Organism: Myotis davidii
Lineage: Eukaryota; Metazoa; Chordata; Mammalia; Chiroptera; Vespertilionidae
Source: Rfam
GACAGUUCUCGGGUGACGCACCCCAGAAUCAGGCUCCAUCCUCUCUGGUUCUGGGUGCGUCAUCGAGAACAGCC